This 1439-nucleotide ribosomal RNA is filed under the name uncultured bacterium. Its description in RNAcentral is "bacterial SSU rRNA". It matches the Rfam family "Bacterial small subunit ribosomal RNA". The record is from RNAcentral.
AGGGUUUGAUCCUGGCUCAGAACGUACGCUGGCGGCACGCCUAACACAUGCAAGUCGAACGAAGUAGCAAUACUUAGUGGCAGACGGGUGAGUAACAUGUAGGUAUCUGCCCUUUGGCCUGGAAUAACACGAGGAAACUUGUGCUAAUACCGGAUAAGUCUUUACGGAGAAAGCUUUAUGCACCAUUGGAUGAGCCUGCACUUGAUUAGUUUGUUGGUGGGGUAAUGGCCUACCAAGACUGUGAUCAAUAGCUGAUUUGAGAGGAUGAUCAGCCACAUUGGGACUGAGACACGGCCCAAACUCCUACGGGAGGCAGCAGUGGGGAAUCUUGCACAAUGGAGGAAACUCUGAUGCAGCGAUGCCGCGUGAGUGAAGAAGGCCCUUGGGUUGUAAAGCUCUUUCGUCGGGGAAGAAAAUGACUGUACCCGAAUAAGAAGGUCCGGCUAACUUCGUGCCAGCAGCCGCGGUAAUACGAAGGGACCUAGCGUAGUUCGGAAUUACUGGGCUUAAAGAGUUCGUAGGUGGUUGAAAAAGUUGGUGGUGAAAUCCCAGAGCUUAACUCUGGAACUGCCAUCAAAACUUUUCAGCUAGAGUAUGAUAGAGGAAAGCAGAAUUUCUAGUGUAGAGGUGAAAUUCGUAGAUAUUAGAAAGAAUACCAAUUGCGAAGGCAGCUUUCUGGAUCAUUACUGACACUGAGGAACGAAAGCAUGGGUAGCGAAGAGGAUUAGAUACCCUCGUAGUCCAUGCCGUAAACGAUGUGUGUUAGACGUUGGAAAUUUAUUUUCAGUGUCGCAGCGAAAGCGAUAAACACACCGCCUGGGGAGUACGACCGCAAGGUUAAAACUCAAAUGAAUUGACGGGGACCCGCACAAGUAGUGGAGCAUGUGGUUUAAUUCGAAGAUACGCGCAGAACCUUACCAACACUUGACAUGUUCGUCGCGACUUUAAGAGAUUAAAGUUUUCGGUUCGGCCGGACGAAACACAGGUGCUGCAUGGCUGUCGUCAGCUCGUGUCGUGAGAUGUUGGGUUAAGUCCCGCAACGAGCGCAACCCUCACUUUUAGUUGCCAUCAUUAAGUUGGGCACUCUGAAAGAACUGCCAGUGAUAAGCUGGAGGAAGGUGGGGAUGACGUCAAGUCCUCAUGGCCCUUACGUGUUGGGCUACACACGUGCUACAAUGGUAUCUACAACAGGAAGCAAAACUGCGAAGUUAAGCAAAUCCUUAAAAGAUACCUCAGUUCGGAUUGCACUCUGCAACUCGAGUGCAUGAAGCUGGAAUUACUAGUAAUCGUGGAUCAGCGUGCCACGGUGAAUGCGUUCCCGGGUCUUGUACACACCGCCCGUCACACCAUGGGAGUUGGUUCUACCUUAAGGCAAGGUUUCAUACCCUUGACCACGGUAUAGUCAGCGACUGGGGUGAAGUCAUAACAAGGUAACCGUA